ACGUCACAGCUUAUUGUGCACAUGUUUCUAUUACAACUUGCGGAUCGCUCGCUAAUAAUGUCGCAUAAUAGUGUGCCUCUGCCAAAUAAAGCAUCAUGUCCACAUGUGGUUCGGGCUCCCACUGUCAUUUCAAUGGUGGGUCUGCCAGCACGUGGCAAGACCUACAUUGCCAAGAAACUGACCCGAUACUUGAACUGGAUUGGUGUCACUACCAAGGCCUUUAAUGUAGGAGAGUAUCGCAGAGCAGCCACAGACUCCUACAAAAAUCACAAUUUUUUUAGAGCAGACAACAAAGAGGCACAAGAACUUAGAACGAGAGUUGCCUUAAUGGCAGUUGAUGAUGCCUGCAAAUUCCUCAGCACUGGUGGAGAAGUGGCAGUUAUUGAUGCCACCAACACUACAAUGGAUAGACGUCGACUUCUUGUGGACAUUUGCACAGUAAAAUAUCAGUUUAAAUUGUUUUUUGUGGAGUCCAUUUGUGAUGAUCCUAACAUCAUACAAGGCAACAUAUUGGAGGUGAAGGUUUGUAGCCCUGACUACGUUGGCCAGGACAAGAAUGAGGCAGUAAAAGACUUCCUUCAGAGAAUUGAGCACUACCGGCAGACAUAUGAGCCGAUGGGUUCUCCUGCAGAAAGGGACAUGUCUUACAUUCAGAUUUUCAAUCAGGGCGAACGGUUCAUAGUCAAUAAACUGGCAGGUCAUCUACAGAGCCGAGUGGUUUACUACCUCAUGAAUAUUCAUGUGCUGCCAAGAACCAUCUAUCUCACACGACAUGGGGAAAGCAAAAUGAAUCAAGAUGGACGUAUUGGGGGGGACAGUGAUCUGUCAGAGAGAGGUUGGCAGUAUGCUGAAGCUCUGGGCAAAUUUGUGGAGGAGGAGAACAUCCAGGAACUGAAGGUCUGGACCAGUGAAUUAAAGCGAACUAUCCAGACAGCACGCUACAUCAGUGCACCAAAGGAACACUGGAAAGCACUCAAUGAGAUUGAUGCUGGUGUAUGUGAAGGCAUGACUUAUGAGGAGAUUCAAGAAAAGUAUCCUGAAGAGUUUGCUUUGAGAGAUCAAGACAAGUUCCACUACAGAUACCCAAGUGGGGAGUCAUAUCAAGACCUGGUUGCACGUCUUGAGCCUGUUAUACUGGAGUUGGAACGGCAGGAGAAUGUUAUGGUCAUUUGUCACCAGGCUGUGGCACGCUGCCUACUAGCCUACUUCCAAGACAAAUCUGCUGCGGAAAUUCCUCAUGUUGCUGUGCCGUUUGAGUCGGUGGUUCGAAUGAAAAUGGCGGGGCCUCGAUGCGAGUGCGAGAUCUUGCCCUUACUGAGCCGACCUUCCAUACCUGAAGGUACCACUUCAUACCGUGAUCAAAUUGACACCGGUAGCUUAUGGCUGUAGAGUUGAGUUCCUGGCCCUUAAUAUACCAGCCGUCAACACUCACAGGGAAAAGCCAGAGAACGUCAGCAGAAGUCGAUCUACAAACGAGGCCCUGCAGACUGUUCCAGAUCACGAGUGAUUCUAGUACAGCACCAAUCCAGGCAGAAAAUCCGACAUGAGACAUGAAGAGUUUAGAAAUGUCCCAUAAUUCAUAUAAGAUUUUGUCAGUCCAUGUGCUUACUCAGGAAUCUUGCUGAGGUCUUUCCAUUCCAUGUUUAUUGUUUUGACUGAAGGCAUGGCAAAGGAGCCUUUUCAGCAAUAAAAUGUAAACUUUUUAAAGAAAAUGUCAUUUUUCAUGUAAAAGAGUGGUUCAUUCUCUUGUUAUAUUGUCUAUAAAAAACCCAGUUCACGCAGUUAUGAUUUUGAUUCUGGUACAAUAACCGGUGAGAUAUAGUCAACUUCUUGAGCAUUGGGGGGUUUUUUCCCCCUGUUUACUUAAUUGAAAGUCCUGUAACAGGUUAUAUUUGGAAAUGAAUUUGGAAAAGAUUUGUAGAUAUAUUUCAUGAUUAAAGUAGAUUCAAUUUUCAAGAAUAAUGUUAAAGCAUUGUUUUUAUUUUUCAUGUCCUGUUUUCAUAGCUAUAAAGAGUUGACCUUCUUUCUAAAAUCUCCAUUACUGUCUUCCACAGACACAAAAGAAGUAUUUGGUGCCUGAUCUUUGAAGUCCUCAUUCAAACUACCUUACCAGUCUUGUUAGAGCUCAUGAGCAGCUGUGUGUGUUUGUAAAUGCGCCUGUGCAUGCAUGUGUAAGUAACAUUCACUUAAUGUGAAAGGAACAAUACCAUUGGUAGCUGUUCAAAUAAUUGGCCCAGUUGAGUUAGCUGUUGAGUCUUACAGUAGCUGGCAGCAUAAACAAAGCCAACAGUUUUUUGGCGGCUUGCAUCAAGUAUAGGUCAUAGACCGGAAGUGUGAACUAAUAGCAACAGUUAAGAUGUUUCUCGUCUGAUGAAGGUGACUGAUUAAUCAAAGCUUUAUUGUCUGUUUUGUGCCUUUAUUGAUUGGAUUGUGUGCGCCAGCCCAUUUCCCCCUUUUUUUUUUGAGCAGGUUGUAUGGCAGCAGGUUGUGAUAUAAUUACCUCCUAAUGUGUCAAAUGUUUAUUGUUUCAUUUGUUCUACUGAUUGAUGAUGCAAUGUUCUGAGGCCUGCAUUAUACAACUAAUUGUCUUCAUUGCUGUUGGUUUCCUUUCUUGAACAUUUUUUGGGAAGAAGGGGUUGGUAAGGGACAAAACAAGUGGAGUAGAAACCGGGUGGGGGUUGGGGGCAGCUGUACCUCAAAGGAGGUAAUAAUAUGAACAUCAUUCACUGUCAGCAUGAAGUUUGCCCCUUCAAAGUUGAUUAUCUUCCUAUGCCAGUAAAAACUUAAUUCUUGCUGCUGGGUGAUGUUGAUCAUAUAUGCACACACAGCUGUAUUUUGGAAGAUGCUGGUAUCAAAUUAUAUUCUUGUGAGGUAAUCAAUCUUUGUUCUUCCCAAAAAGUUUUUUAAAGCAAACUUUGAUAGCCAGCAUUUUAUGAGCAUGCUAACAAUUCUGAAAGUAUCAUGCUGCAUUAAUUUGAAUGUCUUCAUGUUGAUGAAUACAUGUUGAUCAUUUCGGUUAAUUUAUUAUUUUAGUGGGUGGAGAGUUUCCAUACCUAUAAAGAAUGUCUGCUGUGCAAUUAGUAACAUUCAUUUUAAAUUCAAGUCAUUGAUGCUCAAAAAAGCUUAAACAGUUUCUGUAUGCACUCUAUUGAAGGGAAAGAUGCAUAGCCCUUUAAAACAGCUUUUAUUUGCUGUUAGAGGCUGUUUUUAUUUGAUGGACCAAAUCUUGUUCAAGAAGACUGGCAGUCAGUUUAAUUCUAGACUGGUAAUGUUUGGAAAAACCAAUAGACAACAAUCCUUUAUUCAUGAGCAAUUGUGGAAAAUUGAUCCAGAUAUUCAAUUGGUGCUAAUUAGACUCGGGGGAGGGUACAGCGCAGUGGUCAAGAGUGCUGGCACUAGUUUUAUACACCUGUGUAGUGUAGCUCACUUCCUCAAGUCAUCCCACCUGGCGUUAAUGGGUACCUGACACGUAAAAAGGUUUAAAAAGAUAAGGCCACAAGAGAGAGGAGAUGGGCACUGUGCUCACAUGCUCCCAAGAUAAGGGAGGUGUCUUUAACACUUCACUCCCUAACGACCAGAAAAAAGGUCAUGGGACAACCUUCACCUUACCUAAUGAGACUGGAAUCACAUUUAAUGAUGGCUUAUUGCCAAAAACUGUAGUCGAGAAAUGCAAUGUUCAAAAACUUGUAUCUUGCAAAUUGAAUAUUCUCAGAUUUUGAGAGUUAAUGUCUUGUAAUGAACUAAACCAAACCAUUUGAACAAAUAUUAUUCACUUAGGUUAGUCUUUUUGUCUGAAAUUAUGAUUAUUAAAUUAGAAUUUAGUUAAACCAUUUUUUUAUGCACAUGUGGGUUAACAUUGUGUUUCUUUGUCUAUUCCAGAACUCUUGGGUUCUUUCCAUGUAUUGUUUUGUUUUUCUUUGAAGAUGCUACCUUAAACAAGAGUUGUAAAACCAUAACCAUGUGAUGCAAAGAGUUGCAAUGUUAUUUACAAAAGAAUGUUUGGUAGGAUUAUGUUGUCACUGAAACUGCUGACAAGCCUUAUGUUUACAUUGUUAUAGCCAGUUUUACUUGAGAUGCCUUAUUUAUACACCUAAGUACACAGGUCUUGUCAAGAUGCCAAAGUUUUCAGUGUCUUUUUUUUAAAUAAUCCGUUCAUUCAGCCAUUGUGGACCAUCUGCUUACAGCAUGCUGUUCUAAAACAAAAAGUCUGUAUAUUAUUGCUCAGUUGCUAUUGCAUUCUUUUAUAUAAUUUUUGAUGCAAAUAAAUCUUUAUUAAGUGGCAAGUGGACAGUUUAAUUGGGGUACCUUCUCAUUCCUGGAACUGCUCUCUCUCUAUUUCUCUCUCAUUUCAAAUGCUCUCAUAUACUAUUAAAGUUGGUGGCUAUAUUUUCAUGAAGCUUGGCUGCUACAAAUAACCGCUUUCAGGCACUGAUGCUCUUUCAAGUUGGUGGCUGUAUUUUAUGUUUGAAUCACUGGUAGGCUAUUAAAGUUGGUGACAAUAUUUCAUGUUUGAAAAGAAUGUGAAGCUUGACUGCUACAGACAACCGGUAAAGCUCAAUUAGAGAAGAUGAAAUCCAAUUUGGAGUGAAUAAUUUAUCUUUUGCCUGUGAUAUGGUCAGACAUGAUUGGUUUGCUUUCAUUAUUGAACAGAGUUUGCAUCUGGUAAAGAUAUAUGUACUCUAAUAUGCAACCUUUAGCCAUGAAAUUUCAGUUUAAGACUUGUGUAUUCAAACUUUUUAAAGAUUAAUAUGUAAUAUACUGAUACCUCAUGAGGCCAGAUUGUUUACCUUAAAAAUAUUCUGAUAGGAAUGGACAGUAUGCUAUUUCAUUUCUGUUUCCCGAAUGUGACAUGUUUGUGAGGAUGAUGAUAGUAUUCUUAUGCCCGUGUAACUACACAAAACAUUCUACACAAUGCCUUGACCAACUGCCUCCAACCUCCAUGCAAAUCAUUCACUUAUCUGUGCGAAAUUUUGAAUUUUCUUCUGCAUAGUCUUCCUUCAUUUAGUGAAAGACGUAAUCAUAAAUGGGUGAAGAACUUUUUUCCUUGCAACUUAAUUUUGUCUUCCCAGCUUGCCCCAACCUUAUAUUUGUACAGAAUUUUUGACAAGUGAUUUUUGUACUUUUUCGGGGGAAGGUUCAUGAGUACAAAUAUAUUAUUACUUGUAGGAUGCUUGUGUUUAUUGGUCUUUGUCCGGAGACCUUUUUUAGGAAAAAAAAAUAAGGUUGAGUUUUCUGUGUGCACUUUUAUGUCAAAAAUUUUGUUCAGUUUUGUGUAACAUUUUAUACUAUCACGUACACAACAACAUUGAUGUACGUAUUUGUGACUUCGUCUGUUUUCCCCACCUUAUUGCGUUUACUGCUUCUCUGAUUGUGGUCAAAGUGAGUCCGUAAUAUAUUCAAAAGGUAAACAACAAAGUUCUUUUUUUUUUUUUAAAUGUUUAAUUUUCAUCCUUUAUUUUAUUAUUAUGUUCUUGGUGCUUGGCUCAGACUCUUGAAUUUUUCAAUCAGGAAUGUUAUGCCUAAUGAUGCUUUCACAGGUCAGUUUUUAUUUUUUCAUGCAUAAUAAAAAAUGAUCACAAGGUCCCCUACAUAAAUCAUAUCUGAUUUAUUUGUUGCCCAGUCUAAUAAAGAAAUAAUAUACUUCUA
Pomacea canaliculata is the source of this 5646-nucleotide RNA transcript. It is a transcript of the gene named 6-phosphofructo-2-kinase/fructose-2,6-bisphosphatase-like, with no coding region annotated. The record is from RefSeq and is a predicted model, not a curated record. The transcript is spliced from 15 exons. NCBI's taxonomy places the organism in Eukaryota, Metazoa, Mollusca, Gastropoda, Architaenioglossa, Ampullariidae.